This 253-nucleotide ribosomal RNA is filed under the name uncultured bacterium. RNAcentral describes it as "partial 16S ribosomal RNA". It matches the Rfam family "Bacterial small subunit ribosomal RNA", at positions 524 to 776 of the family's 1533-position model. The record is from RNAcentral.
UACGGAGGGUGCAAGCGUUGUCCGGAUUUAUUGGGUUUAAAGGGUGCGUAGGCGGUCUUUUAAGUCAGUGGUGAAAGCCUCCAGCUCAACUGGAGAAAUGCCAUUGAUACUGGAAGACUUGAGUAUAGUUGAGGUAGGCUGAAUUGACAGUGUAGCGGUGAAAUGCAUAGAUAUUGUCAAGAACACCGAUUGCGAAGGCAGCUUACUAAACUAUAACUGACGCUGAGGCACGAAAGUGCGAGGAUCAAACAGG